This 429-nucleotide ribosomal RNA is filed under the name Gemmatimonadota bacterium. RNAcentral's name for it is "Gemmatimonadetes bacterium partial 16S ribosomal RNA". It matches the Rfam family "Bacterial small subunit ribosomal RNA", at positions 355 to 776 of the family's 1533-position model. Lineage: Bacteria; Pseudomonadati; Gemmatimonadota. The record is from RNAcentral.
UAGGGAAUCUUCGGCAAUGGACGAAAGUCUGACCGAGCAACGCCGCGUGAGUGAAGAAGGUUUUCGGAUCGUAAAACUCUGUUGUUAGAGAAGAACAAGGACGUUAGUAACUGAACGUCCCCUGACGGUAUCUAACCAGAAAGCCACGGCUAACUACGUGCCAGCAGCCGCGGUAAUACGUAGGUGGCAAGCGUUGUCCGGAUUUAUUGGGCGUAAAGCGAGCGCAGGCGGUUUCUUAAGUCUGAUGUGAAAGACCCCGGCCCAACCGGGGAGGGUCAUUGGAAACUGGGAGACGUGAGUGCAGAAGAGGAGAGUGGAAUUCCAUGUGUAGCGGUGAAAUGCGUAGAUAUAUGGAGGAACACCAGUGGCGAAGGCGGCUCUCUGGUCUGUAACUGACGCUGAGGCUCGAAAGCGUGGGGAGCAAACAGG